Molecule: ribosomal RNA, 253 nt
Filed under: uncultured bacterium
Lineage: Bacteria
Description: partial 16S ribosomal RNA
Rfam family: Bacterial small subunit ribosomal RNA
Source: RNAcentral
UACGGAGGGUGCGAGCGUUAAUCGGAGUUACUGGGCGUAAAGGGCGCGUAGGCGGUAAGGUAUGUGUGAUGUGAAAGCCCCGGGCUUAACCUGGGAAGUGCAUCGCAAACUAUCUAACUAGAGUAGAUGAGAGGGUGGCGGAAUUUCCGGUGUAGCGGUGAAAUGCGUAGAGAUCGGAAGGAACGUCAAUGGCGAAGGCAGCCACCUGGCAUCAUACUGCCGCUGAGGCGCGAAAGCGUGGGGAGCGAACAGG